RNAcentral lists this ribosomal RNA (326 nucleotides) under uncultured bacterium. Its description in RNAcentral is "bacterial SSU rRNA". It matches the Rfam family "Bacterial small subunit ribosomal RNA", at positions 29 to 334 of the family's 1533-position model. The record is from RNAcentral.
AAUGAACGCUGGCGGCGUGCCUAACACAUGCAAGUCGUACGAGAAAUCCCGAGCUUGCUUGGGAGAGUAAAGUGGCGCACGGGUGAGUAACGCGUGGGUAACCCACCUUCGAAUCUGGGAUAACUCCGCGAAAGCGGUGCUAAUACCGGAUAAGACCACAGCCGUUUCGGCGGCAGAGGUAAAAGCUGACCUCUCCAUGGAAGUUAGCGUUCGAGGACGGGCCCGCGUCCUAUCAGCUUGUUGGUGGGGUAAAGGCCUACCAAGGCAGCGACGGGUAGCUGGUCUGAGAGGAUGAUCAGCCACACUGGAACUGGAACACGGUCCAG